GCGCCCGGUGGUGUAGUCGUUGUAGCACGCGUCCUCGGUAUGGAUGAAACGCGGGUUCUAUUUCCGCCUGAGGUG
Molecule: non-coding RNA, 75 nt
Organism: Parelaphostrongylus tenuis
Lineage: Eukaryota; Metazoa; Nematoda; Chromadorea; Rhabditida; Metastrongylidae
Source: the annotation of a GenBank genome assembly